AGCAAUUAUGGAUAGCAUGAUUUUAGGCGUGGCCAAAUUAUAAAACACAGUCAAAUUGUGCUAUAAAAAAGAUAGUGCGAAUUAAGAAAAACUCCGGGUAUGCACAACCACUAAAUUAGUUGCAUACUCACAUUGUCUGGAAUACAAGAAAAGUGCAGCAAUUACCUUACGACUCCCGCCCACCGGCACAAGCGUUAUACCUCCACGUGGCGGCAUUGCAGCUUUGUAACAAUUCGUGAGAAAUGUAUGAAAAUCAUUUGAUUGUCGUUGCUUGAGUUCGAAAAGCGUUGUCAGCAUGUUGAAGAAGGUCUCAUGCCAUGGCAGGCGUGUAAGUAUAAGCAUAAUCGAAUUGGAAUCGAAGUCAUAACGACAGAAGCAAAACCGCCAAUGAGUAUCUUCCGCCGUCAACACAAACGAAUACAUCACCACUGGAACGCUGCAAAAUAUUGUAUUUUAAUUAACGCGUAAUAUUAAAAGUAGCUACUCACUCUUCGUUUUCGCACGGCGUACUCGCAAACAACUGCAGCAUCUUCAAUAUUUUGUCAUCACGAAAAUUUGUGGGAAAUUUUUCCUUGAUCGAUAUUACAUUUGGAUUAUUUUU
Bactrocera neohumeralis is the source of this 601-nucleotide long non-coding RNA. RefSeq lists it as uncharacterized. Lineage: Eukaryota; Metazoa; Arthropoda; Insecta; Diptera; Tephritidae. The record is from RefSeq and is a predicted model, not a curated record. The transcript has 2 exons.